Molecule: long non-coding RNA, 2060 nt
Organism: Herpailurus yagouaroundi (jaguarundi)
Lineage: Eukaryota; Metazoa; Chordata; Mammalia; Carnivora; Felidae
Exons: 2
Source: RefSeq, a predicted model, not a curated record
GAAAAAGCCAGGUCGCUGAGACACGAGGGGCCUUCCCUCUGAUGCAAGUGAGCCCCCUCCCAGGGGCCACUUCCCAGCAGCCAGAGCAGCAAGUGCCCCGGGAGGGGGCCUGGGAAUGGUUACUGAGAAAUCCCUGGGCUGCCCACACACUUCCCCUUCUGUCAAAUGCCAGGAGGAUUCCUCCCGCAGGCGAGGGGAAAGGUGAGCAAGGUUCACCCCAUACUGAGUCACUGGAAAGAUUAGGGGACCCAGUGGAGAAGGGUGUCAUUCCAUCUCCUCUAGAACUCCUGAGGGGGACUGUAAUUCCAGGCUUGGUCUGAGAGACGAUCUCCACAGACUUAGGGAGCACUGGAGAAUGGAGCCUUGAAGCCUCCCCCUCCCCUGCUUCCUGCAAGGGCACUGCGGCCUGGUUCCUGGGACAGUGGGAAUCUCCUUCCUGUCCUUGUCCCAUUAUGCUCUGCCUCACCGGCCAAAGACUUGUGGAACCCACACUCUCACCCACCUCUUAGGCCUGGGAUUCCACCUGAGGGACCCCCACAGCGCCCUUCCCAGUCCAGGCCCCUGGGGUGUUUUCCCAGCGGCCUGUCGGCUUCCAUCCUUAGCUGUGGGCCUUGGCGCAGUGGGAGGAAUCUCCCUGCUUGCAUGCCUCACUGCAGAGAGCAGGCCAAGGAGCCCACUGCAAAGUGCACCCCUCCUGAGACCACCGUCCACUGGAACUCUGGGGUGCAGCUGCCCCCAGCCCCCCAGCCCUGUUCCCCAAGUCAGCUGGAGGAAGCAGAGAAGCUGGCCCAGGGCUGGCCUGGUAGUCCGCUCCCCCACCUCCACCCCCCUCCAUCGUUGUGGAGAUGCCUUUGGCAGCAGAAUUGGAACCAGCCGGGAUGUGAUGAUUCGCCCACGAGGAGGUCUGCCCAUACUAGUCAUGAGAACAGUUUGCCCAGAGGGGUUUUUGAGGGCCCAGGCCAGACAUGAGUGUGAGGGAAGUCCCAGCUGGUCCUUGAACCCAUCUUUUAAGGCUGGUAUCACCAGGCAAGGCCGUAAUGGGGCAGGGGUGGGGACCAGGUUGGGACAGGGUUGGACUUGGUCUUGGGGCUAGUUACGGAGGGAGGUGGGUGGAGUCACCAAUCCCUCCUCUCCAGCCCCAGGUGGUCCUUAUCACCGCUUACCUGGACCGUGGCAACAGUCUCCUCAGGACCUCCCUGCCCAAGCCUUGCGCCUCUAAUCCUUCCUCCCGAAGGACCCUUAGACCUGCCCUGUGAGCUGAUCAAGGGCCAAGUCUCUCUGUGGCUCAUAAAUCUUCAAUGGCUCCCAAUAGCUAGUGGGAAGCAGAAGACUCUCAAGGCCUUGCAGUUGACUUCAGCCAUACUUCCAACCACCCUUCUCACCAUGCCCUGAGAGAACGUUGUGCCUCAACCAAAGAGAGAACAACGCCUCUUCAGGCUCCAGGCAUCACCUUCCCCUGGACAGUCUUCCUUUCCCUCUCUUCAAGGGUCUUUGCAGAUGCAAGCAAGUUAAGACAAAGCCACACUACAUUAGGGUGGACCCUGAUCCAAUGAUUGGUGUCUUUAUCAAAAGAGGGAACGGACACACAAAGGGCAAGGGCCACGUGGAAACAGAAGUGGAGGUGAGAGUGAUGCAUCCACAAGCCAAGGAGCCAAGGAUUUUGCCAGUCACUGCGGGGAGCCGGGCAAGAAGCACGGGACCCUUUCUCCCUCAGAGCCUCCAGAAGGAACCGACCUUCCAACACCAUGAUUUCUGGCCUCCACACCUGGGAGAGAAUAACUUCCUGUGUGGUAAGCCACCCAAAUUUGUGGUGAUUUGUUAUGGCAGCCCCAGGAAACUAAUACAGCCCCCGAACAGAGAGACCGCCUGCGAUGGAAGCCAACACUGGGGAAAUGAGGGCCGUGGACUUGGACUCUUGGCGCUCUGACAACACUUGGAUCCAGCGGUGGCUGAAGCAAGGGGUCUACAUGAGCUGAUAUGUUCUCAAUUUUACUUACGCCAUUUUGGCUGAGUUUCUGUCUGGUUCAACAGAGAGAGGCCUGACUAAUACAGAGAUAAUG